UGAAUGUUUAUCAAAAACAUUUCUUCAUGGGUUUUUUUGAAGUAUUCCCUGCCCUAUGAAUUAUUUUAAAUGGCCGCGGUAUUUUAACUGUGCAAAGGUAGCAUAAUAAUUAGUCUUUUAAUUGAGGUCUUGAAUGAAUGGGUUAACAAAAAAAUAUCUUUAUUAAAUUAAAUUUUUUUAAGUUAAUUUUAAAGUUAAAAUUCUUUAAUAAUUAAGGGGGACGAUAAGACCCUAUAGAUCUUAAAAAAAUAAAUUUCUUAUUUGGUUUUUUUAUUUAUAAAUUAAUUUAUUUAUUUAGUUGGGGAGAUUUUUAAAAAUUUAAACUUUAUUUUUUUUUUACAUCAAUUUAUGUUUAUAUUGAUCCAGUAUUUCUGAUUAUAAGAUAAAGAUACCUUAGGGAUAACAGCGUAAUAAAUUUGGGGAGUUCAUAUUUAUAAAUUUGUUUGCGACCUCGAUGUUGAAUUAAAAUUUUGGGAGGGGGAAGGUUUUUUCUAUAUUGG
This 500-nucleotide ribosomal RNA is filed under the name Nisia serrata. RNAcentral's name for it is "partial 16S ribosomal RNA". Lineage: Eukaryota; Metazoa; Arthropoda; Insecta; Hemiptera; Meenoplidae. The record is from RNAcentral.